CAGAAGGUAGUUUAAGCAAAAUAUUAACUUUGGGAGUUAAUGAUAGGAGGUUCCUCUUUUUUCUGA
Molecule: transfer RNA, 66 nt
Filed under: Halocaridina rubra (Hawaiian volcano shrimp)
Lineage: Eukaryota; Metazoa; Arthropoda; Malacostraca; Decapoda; Atyidae
Description: tRNA-Pro
Rfam family: tRNA
About the family: Transfer RNA (tRNA) molecules are approximately 80 nucleotides in length. Their secondary structure includes four short double-helical elements and three loops (D, anti-codon, and T loops). Further hydrogen bonds mediate the characteristic L-shaped molecular structure. tRNAs have two regions of fundamental functional importance: the anti-codon, which is responsible for specific mRNA codon recognition, and the 3' end, to which the tRNAs corresponding amino acid is attached (by aminoacyl-tRNA synthetases). tRNAs cope with the degeneracy of the genetic code in two manners: having more than one tRNA (with a specific anti-codon) for a particular amino acid; and 'wobble' base-pairing, i.e. permitting non-standard base-pairing at the 3rd anti-codon position.
Source: RNAcentral